CCAAGUAGGGUGAACAUCACAGACAGGCAGGCCAGCACGGCAUCACCUCUCCCACCGCCGGCCCAGAUGGCUCCAUCACCUCCAGGAACUGCCCUGGUGGAGUCCUGAGGCCUUUGGGGCCAGGACUGCGUUUCCAGGUUGCCAGCUCCCCAUCUUCCUGAUGCCCUGCAGAGCUAAGGGCCCUGCACCUCCCACAGCAAUCGGAGCCACCAUCCUGCUCCAGGCCUUCGGUUAAGGGCGCGCCAGGGGCGGGCGAGGUUGAACACGCCUGGGGGCAGGAAGCCCUGCAGCCUCCUCUGCAAAACCAUCAGAGCCACCUCUCUGGCCGCAGGGUUGCACAGAGGCCGCCAGGGGCGCCUUGGCCCUGCCCCCAGGAGCCGUCCAAGCUGGGCUGCGAAGGGAAAGGGAUUCCCCGCGCCAUCCACAGCCCCAGGACCUGUGGGUGACCAAGAAGACAAGGAAGAUGGUGGCAAGGGCAAGAGGUAAUUGGCCCUGAGAGCCACCUUCCCCUGCCUUGGACCUUACUCGUUGACCUCUUCCAGAUGGCGGACUGGGGGCCAGCAGGAGAAAGAGCCCUAAGGGAGAGGUUCUGGUCCAGCCCCGGUCAAGGGCCAGCCCUGGGAAGUCCUGACCUUCACAUCCCCAGCCACCAUCCACCCAGUACCCCUGGGCGGCCAGCGGGCAGGUGAAGCACUUGCACACCCGUCGGGGCUGCAGAGGGGGAGCUGUGAGCCCGGGAGCCCAGGGAUGGCCGCCAAAGCCAGAAGGAGCCAGAGAAGGGCGCCGUGCAGCCUCUGCUGUGGCCUGGGGGCCUCCCACUGAGCUGUGAGGAACAAGGACGAGGACCGGCCCCUGGGAGCAGGGCCCCCACACCUGCCGGACGCUCGUGCUGGCAGGUGGCGGAACUUGCAGAGGCCUGAGUUCACGACCCAAGCCAAGCAGCGUCGCAGCACAUAUCCAAUCACUCUCUGGCUAGAGUGCACCCUCCCCCGGACGUACCUCUGGAUGACCAUGGACGUGGGCAGCCCUGGGGACAGCCAGCCCUGCCCUCUCCAGCACCACCUGCCCCACCCAGUGCCGACCCUCAUGUGCCAUUUGGCCUCUCUCUGUUCCCUCUCCUGGACCACCUUCUCCCUGGUCUGUCCGGCCACCUUGCCCCCUUCCCCUUGCUGUAGCUGGCCGACCCCCUCUCCUGCACCCUCGGCACACGCAGGGUGCCGGGUGCACUGCUCACACCCGGCCCCGAGGAAAGGGGGCUGAGGCAGGGGCUCCCGCAGGUCGAGCCCUCCCUCCGAGAGCUCGCUGCGCCCGAGCACCACCAUCUCCUCCUCUUGGGUUUCCCGUGGUGCCCCUGCUGCAGGGCCGGCUUCAUUGCCCACCCAAGAGGGGCCUGGAGCCCAGGGUUCCCCACCCCUCCUCUGAGUAGGGCCAGGCGGGUCCCUCUCUGGAAAUAAAGCCCAGCACUGAGCCGCUGGGGCUGGGGCGGCCUCCCCUGCAGCCCGGAGCGGGCCCUUGCUCGUCUGUCCUAAGCAAAUUUGCCAGUGUCCCCACAUGGGGAGCUGCGGGGUGGGUGUGACAGGACGUUAUCUGAGAGUCAGUGCCACCCUGGCGAGGGGCUGGGCUUCCUGGGGAAGCUCCACCUGCUUUGGCAUACCCUAAUUUUAGACUUCUUAUACCUAAUUAGAGAUCAACGUUUCAAAAUUUGUUUUUAAUCAACCAAAUUCCUGCACAUCCUUCCGAACUGGCCCCGAGCCACCUCGCCUCCUUCCCACACGGACCCCAGUGAGCCUGUGUGCUCUUUUCCACGAAGUCCCUUCCCCCAGCUGCCUCCUCCUCCUUCCGGGGCCUUCCUGGACCCUCUCCUGGACACAGUGGCCCCGGGGCACAUGUGGUAAUGGUCUCCCGUGAUCCUCGAUAACCCCGUGAGGUGGGUCUGGUCAGCCCCAGUUUACAGAUGAAGAAACUGAGUCUUACCAAUACUGAGCAGCUCGCCCAAAGCCACCAGCUAUGGGUGGGGCCAGGCAUGGUGCAGGGCCUGAGGCUGGCCAGGAGCAGAAUUGAGGGUGAGGGCGUGGGCGGCCUUUGAGUGGCCUCACCCUGGCCUGUGAGGGAGUACAUGCUCUGCCCCCAGAGGCACGUGGUGGUCACAGCCCAUCACCAUGGAAACCAGGCCGGGGCCCCUGGAGCCCUCAGCUCUGGUUUGGAUUUCAAACCCAAUGCCGCUUUCUCAGAAGCAACUUGGUCAAACUUUCCAAAUAGGAAAAGUGGAAGGAAAAAGAGAGAGAGAGAAAUUCCCAGACUGAAGCCACCCCAGAAAGACGGCCUGGGCCCUGAGCUGGGGAAGCCCUGUCUGGGUGGGCAGUGUGGUGGCAGGGCAGAGACCCCGUAGCCUCCCCAGGGCUCAUGCCCCUCCUCUGGGGAGCAGGCGGUGGUGGUGCAGCCGAAGCAGGUGGGCCCGGCCCUUCCUGUCUCUGCGGGAGCAGCUGCCCUUUUGUGUUUCCCAGUGGGGUGUGUGAGAAAGGGCUCUUUUGGAAAAAGGGUUGGAAAACCACUGACCUCAUCCAGCUGGCCUGCCUUUGGAGAUGGGGAAACUGAGGUCAGGGUCGGGACCAGGAAGUCAAAAGCAGGGCUAAACCACGAAGGUAGGGCAGCAUGGCUACGCCCAGAGCAGGCGCACCGGAAGAUCUGUGGGUCGGGCCCCAUGUGGACGGGGCGCUGGGGCAUCCACACUCCAGCCCCCUGCAGCAGCCCCGGCUCCACGCCAUGGGGGUGCCGCCCAGCCCUGUGCUCGGGCUCCUGGGCCAGCGCCCAUCGCCACAGGAAGGCCGUCCUCCCUUGGGGCUUCCACUCCAGCUCAGGAUGACUCUGAGCUACCCAGGGCACACCUGGGAAGCCCGCAAGGAAGGGGAGGUGAAUGAGCAGCAGCCACAGGCACGGUGCCCUGAGGGGAUGGGGGACAGGCAAAGGCCACCAGAUACACUCUGCCCUCCCCUAUGCCCCCACCCAUUGCCAGACCCCUUAGGGACCCUCAGCUGCGCUCCACCCUGCCCCUCCCACCCCCAGAACCCUCUGUGGGGGGGAUGCUCCUGCCCACUGCUUUCACUGUCGAGACAGGUGUUUGGAGACGUGAUGGCAAGGCAGUCACGCACUCUGGCAGGGGUGGGCCCGGAAUGGCCACGUCCUGAUGGCACCAGGCUGCUCCCUGGGGCCCAGUGUGUGGCUUGUGGCCAUCUUGACACUGUUGGGACCACAGGGCUCUCGAGUGCCAAGCGCUGGACGUUUACAUCCCCCAUCUCACAAAUGAGGAGGUUGGGUCUGUGCAGUCACAGGGCACCUGACUCGGUCAGAGGUGCGCCGGCCCACGGGGGCGGCCCCCCGGCAAAAGCAGCAAGCCUUGGCUCAGCCUCAGCCCCCACACUCCCUGGCUCUGUGGCUCAGGGCUUGUGGUCUUCAGAGUCCCUCCUGCUGGGCUGGGGUGGGGCCAGCUAAUCAGGGCCAGGCAAGCAGGAUGAUGCCCAGGGCGGAGGUGGGCUUGAACCUCCACUCCUGCCGGGCUGGGCGCAGGCUGGGUGGGGAGGGCGGUGGGCAGGAGGUGAGAAGCAUCCGAGCUCUGCUCCCUGCGGGCUGCGCGAUGCUGGGCCUCAGUUUGCUCACCGUGAGAUGGGAAUCAUGGGGCCGCAGGGAGGAGGAAAUGUCUGCUGUCCCCGAGCUCCUCUGUGCCCCAUGGAAGCAAGCCCUGUGGCCUCCCUUCCAUGGCAGAGGCCUGCUCCCUGACAUUGUUUCCCACCUCAGCCCAGGGGCCAGGCCACAGCCACUGCCCUCCCACAGGCCGGGAGCCACAGGGAGGGCCUGCAUCCGGAGUGAGCCCCAGCACUCCAUGGGCCAAGAGGACUAAGCAGAGACUGGCAUAGCCAAGCAUCCUCCUUCCCAAAGGACAGGUUCCUGCAGUGACUCUGCCACAGCCAAGGCCUCAGGGAGCCCCCUUCCUCCUGGCCCUGCCCCGCUGGGUCCUGCUCCUGCGGCCUCAGGAAACACAGCCCUCCCUCGGCCCUCUCCCACGGCUCCCUGCGGCUCCCUGCCAUCCGUGGUCUGAGCCGCUGCCUGCCCUGCUCCACUUUCCAAACCCUCAAGAGGGCCCUGGGCCUCCUCCGGAAGCUGCCCCCCUGCCGCCCUCCAGACGGCGCCUGCCUGGGGCAGUGUCCCAGGGGGAUGAAGCUGAGCCUGAUACGUGCCUGCCUCAGAAAGACUCAGCGGAGACACUGAUUCCAGGAGCAAGCCUCUGAGAAAUAACUUGCAGUGGGAAAAGCAGUGCACACUGGAAAAUGUUCUUCUCUCAGGAAUGUUGCACAGCAAGCUCCUGACCAUUCUGGAUGCGGAUACAAACACUGCUGUCCCGGGGCUGGCCAGAAACUCUGGGGUGGAGGCUGCCCGCAGGAUGUGGGACCCGGGGCAAGUCCCGUGCCCCACUGGGGGACCAUCAUGGUGGGGUGCCGCCUUCUGCCAGGGCAUCCUGGCAUGGCCACAGCAGUGAGCCCACACCUGGACACAGAAACUGUCCCCAAGGGCCUGGCAAAAAUGCACGUGGGGGCAGCCCGACCAGAGGCUGAUUAUGUCUGAUUGGUUUUUAAAGUCUAGCUGUGAAUGGGGGUGGCUUGGCUCGGGCAGGGAUUUAUGACCGCUGUGGUCCUGUCAGGGUGGGGCCGGGGCAUCCUACAGAAGGGAAGGCCUUGGGCACCUGCUCCAGGCUGAACCGGGCCCAGUGGGCUGGAGGCUGUGAAGUCCCAUGAAGCUUGCAGAGCCGAGGACACGGGAAGGAAGGAGAGCUCAGAGUGAUGCUAAGAAGUCACAAGCUUGCUAACCGUCUAAAGACUCUUAAAAACUGGGCCUUUUCCCUUGGAGAACUUGAAGUGAUUCUUUUGUUUACUUUGCUUUUGCAACCGGCCCAUCAAUCAACUCAAUAAAGCUAAAAAUAGCGCCACAGCAGCAAU
Globicephala melas (long-finned pilot whale) is the source of this 4988-nucleotide long non-coding RNA. RefSeq lists it as uncharacterized. Lineage: Eukaryota; Metazoa; Chordata; Mammalia; Artiodactyla; Delphinidae. The record is from RefSeq and is a predicted model, not a curated record.